Molecule: ribosomal RNA, 508 nt
Filed under: uncultured bacterium
Lineage: Bacteria
Description: bacterial SSU rRNA
Rfam family: Bacterial small subunit ribosomal RNA
Source: RNAcentral
AUGAACGCUGGCGGCGUGCUUAAUACAUGCAAGUCGAACGAAGAGCCCUUAACCGAAGAUGAUGACGUGCUUGCACUGAAUCUGAUUCACCUUAGGGUACUGAGUGGCGGACGGGUGAGUAACGCGUGGGUAACCUGCCUUAGACAGGGGGAUAACAUCAAGAAAUUGGUGCUAAUACCGCAUAUGCUCACAGUAUCGCAUGAUACAGUGAGGAAAACUCCGGUGGUCUAAGAUGGACCCGCGUCUGAUUAGCUAGUUGGAGGGGUAACGGCCCACCAAGGCGACGAUCAGUAGCCGACUUGAGAGAGUGAUCGGCCACAUUGGGACUGAGACACGGCCCAAACUCCUACGGGAGGCAGCAGUAGGGAAUAUUGCACAAUGGGGGAAACCCUGAUGCAGCGACGCCGCGUGAAGGAUGAAGUAUUUCGGUAUGUAAACUUCUAUCAGCAAGGAAGAAAAUGACGGUACUUGACUAAGAAGCCCCGGCUAAAUACGUGCCAGCAGCGGC